AGGACGAACGCUGGCGGCGUGCUUAACACAUGCAAGUCGAGCGACAGUGUUCUUCGGAACAUAUGGAGCGGCGAACGGGUGAGUAACACGUGGGCAACCUGCCCCUAGCUCUGGGACAACUCCGGGAAACCGGGCUAAUACCGGAUACGAUCUUCCAUGGCAUCUCGGAAGAUGGAAAGUUUUUCGGCUAGGGAUGGGCCCGCGGCCUAUCAGCUUGUUGGUGAGGUAACGGCCCACCAAGGCGACGACGGGUAGCCGGCCUGAGAGGGCGACCGGCCACACUGGGACUGAGACACGGCCCAGACUCCUACGGGAGGCAGCAGUGGGGAAUAUUGCGCAAUGGGCGAAAGCCUGACGCAGCGACGCCGCGUGAGGGAUGAAGGCCUUCGGGUUGUAAACCUCUUUCAGCAGGACGAAGCGAGAGUGACGGUACCUGCAGAAGAAGCACCGGCCAACUACGUGCCAGCAGCCGC
This 473-nucleotide ribosomal RNA is filed under the name uncultured soil bacterium. RNAcentral's name for it is "bacterial SSU rRNA". It matches the Rfam family "Bacterial small subunit ribosomal RNA", at positions 26 to 518 of the family's 1533-position model. The record is from RNAcentral.